AUUUGUAUUUAGCUCUGUAUAAGAUCCAAAGCACAGAUCACAGCCUGCUGUUAAAGAGGAAAACGUCAUGGUUUAGGCUGAAUAUAUAGUCAGCAGUGUUAUUUUCAUAAUGUGCUUUUGUCAUUUUUAGUGUUUUUAUAAACAUUUUUAUUUAGCUUUCAUUUAUUUAUUUAGUUUCAGUUUUAGACAAUUUAGCAGAUGCCAAUGCAGCAUUUUUAAUUUUCAUUGACUAAGUUUUACUAGUUUAUACCUUAAACUAGCUUGAGUUUUAGUUAACAAUAACAACACUGGUAGUAAAUAAUCACGUAUUUCCGAGUCCUUAUGUGAGCUACUGAAGGAAAGGGAGUCUCAGAGGAGGAUGAUGAAAAGGUGAGUGCAGUUCAGCUCACAGCCACUAGAGGACACUGAGAGUCUGCUGGAUCAGACACUCAUGAUCGUGUGUCAGGACCAGUUAUUCUUACAUGUUUGUUUGUUUGUUUGUUUGUUGUAAUGAUUCUCUAUCUCUCUGUGGUUGCAGUAUGUUGAAGUGGAUGCUGUUGGUGGUGUGUGUGAGUGUGUGUUUGGGUCAGAAUCCGAUCAACACUGACCCAGCAGAAGAAACUGAAUCGACCUCUGAUCAGCACGACCAGGUUACACUCAAACAGACCUGUAAGACAACACACACACACACACACACACACACACACACACACACACACACACACACACACACAAACACACACAAACAAACACAACAGUUGAUUAUGAUGCCAACUAUUUGCUAUUUUAUUCAUUUCUCUUCUCUGGUGUUUUCUGUUGUGUUAAUUUCUGUGCGGUUCUUAUUAUGAAUUGUUGAGUUAAGAUGAAGAUAUAUAUAUUUGGCUCCCAGAACAUGAUAGAGUAAAGAUGCUGUUCCUAUGAUGAAUUCAUUUGAAGCUUUACUGCUCUGUGACCUGUGACCUGUGUGUGUUUGUUUUACACUGACAGAUGUUCAUAUGAUGAAGAACAACAAUAAGCAGGGUGUGUUCAUCGCUGCCGCUAUAGGAACUCUGACGCUGAUGGCUGUGGUUUACUGCAUCUACAACCAGUUCUACACCAAAAACAUUUACUCACACGCUCAGCUGCAUGAAUCAGAUAUCGCUCUGGAUCUGAGCAGCUCGUCCUCGUCGGUGUUUUCUGGUUAUGUGAUGGAGGGAUGGAUGCACCAGAGGAUGGAGAAAGGAGGAGGGAGUUAUGGCUCUCUGUCUGACACUCCUUCAAUUAUCACGCUCCCUCGUCCUCUUUCACCUCCUCAGCGUGCGUCUCCCUUUCACUCGCUCUCUCUGUCCAGACCGCCGCCUCUGAGGACUAUUUCAGCGCAGGAUCUGGAGAAGAGCUUCCUCUGAGACUGUGUCUGUGUCUGUGUGUGUGUGGUUGCAGGGGAUUGUGGGUCAGUUUACAGCUGUAUGCUGAAGUGAUGUGGCUCCUGACACCUUAUACGGCUUGCAAACACUCAAACCUGACCUUUAACCUCUCCAGAUCUGAACGCAGGGUUGCUGUUAAUAUGCUUGAUGUCACAAUCUUUAAAUAAUUAAUCAUCAGAAUGUUCUGUUCUGUUCUCUCUAGCGUGUUCUAUUCAUUUCUUUUAGCUCUGUUGUUUUCUAUUCAUUUUCUUUUCUUUUAAUAUGCAGAAUGUAACAUUGCUUACAUAUUUUGUGAUUUUUAAUGUUCUCUGUUUUAUUAUUUUUACUUUUAUUUAAUAUAGUAGUCUAUUCUGUUCAUUCUUCCUUGUUCUAUUCUGUUUCAUUUGCUAUUAAUAUGCAGAAUAUAACAUUCCUUAAAGAUUAGAUUAGAAUAUUAUAUUCUAUUCUUUAAAGAUUUGGUUAUUAGAAUAGUAUGAACUAGAAUGGAAUGGAAAUUUCAAAACAAAUGAAAAAAGAAAAAACCCCGGGUUAAUGCAUUUGGUAUCAUGAACUAACAGUAAACAGUUAUUUUAUAGUACUUAAUAAAACUUACUGUUAAUUUCA
Long non-coding RNA from Cyprinus carpio (common carp), 1985 nucleotides. NCBI's taxonomy places the organism in Eukaryota, Metazoa, Chordata, Actinopteri, Cypriniformes, Cyprinidae. The record is from Ensembl.